GUAUAUUCAAAACUGGGCAUACACUAAAAUUGGGACAAUACAGAGAAGAUUAGCAUAGUCUCUGCACAAGGAUGACACAAAAUUUAUGAAGCCCUUUAUAUUAUA
This 105-nucleotide small nuclear RNA is filed under the name Carlito syrichta (Philippine tarsier). Lineage: Eukaryota; Metazoa; Chordata; Mammalia; Primates; Tarsiidae. The record is from RNAcentral.